UACGGGGGGGGCAAGCGUUGUUCGGAAUUACUGGGCGUAAAGGGCGCGUAGGCGGCCUGCUAAGUCGGAUGUGAAAUCCCUCGGCUCAACCGAGGAACUGCAUCCGAUACUGGAUGGCUUGAAUCCGGGAGAGGGAUGCAGAAUUCCAGGUGUAGCGGUGAAAUGCGUAGAUAUCUGGAGGAAUACCGGUGGCGAAGGCAGGUCUCUGGGCCACUACUGACGCUGAGAAGCGAAAGCAUGGGGAGCGAACAGG
RNAcentral lists this ribosomal RNA (253 nucleotides) under uncultured bacterium. Its description in RNAcentral is "partial 16S ribosomal RNA". It matches the Rfam family "Bacterial small subunit ribosomal RNA", at positions 524 to 776 of the family's 1533-position model. The record is from RNAcentral.